CAAGAAGACGCUAUCGUGUAAAAUCGGUAGCCCAAAGGGACCCGGAAAAUGGAGUCCCUUGUCAUCGAAGUAUGGCUGCACAUAUGUCGCAUAUAUACAUAUAUCAUACCUGUUCCAAGAUACCUCUUAGAAGUUCAUUCCCAGCCCUGCGACACUGGCUCCAUCUGCAUACAAUGAAUGGGCAAUGGCUCCCGUAGCAUGUUCCUCAAGUUCUUCGGCACUCUACCGUAUAAAGCAUCUACUAUACUGUAAGCGCUGAUGCUGGUCCUGGUGACUCGACGCCGAAGCCAGAAGGGGUCUACACCCGAAGAGUGGUCUCCAUUGGGCCCGGACGGAGUCUCACCGUUGAGCGCAUGAGAGCUGAGGAACCCGUAAGAUGGACCCAAAGGUGGAUGGAGGAUGGGGGGGGGGUCAAGAAGAUGUUGGUGAGGGCGUGCGAGGGGAAGUAUCCGAGGCAGAAACAAAUAGCCAUUGUCUGUGCCAGGGCCGGCAGUGGGGCCCGAAGGGCAUCUAUCACCUGCUUAUCACGAUUAUACCACUUGUGCCCUCUCCUGCGUCUCUCCCUUUUCCUUCCUUACCUAACCUAACCCUGUUCCUCUCUCCUCCCGUAUCCUCCCUCUUCACUUGAACCAGAGUGCCAGGUACCACCAUCGGGAGUAAGACGUCUUCUCUUCGUUACCUUUUGCUCCCUUUUUACCUCUUUCAAUGACCUCCCUUCUACCUCUCUAAACGUACUGUACCUGUGGGUACGUACCUAAACUAUACGUAUCAGCCAGGACCAUGUGGCCUGUACCCAAAGUCUCAUACAUAUGGAGCAUCCUUUAAAGUCUGACGGUUAGACGAGGGAAUGAAGGAGGAUGCCGUGGACAGGCGUAACCCGAUCCAGAAUGUAAGGAAGAGGAUCGCGUGGAGGCGAAGGAGCGCGUCGGGGAUGUAGCGAGUUAGAAGAGAAGCAAGAAGAAACGAGUCCUGGAAGGCAGUAGGGUGGUUAGAAUUGGACGUAGCCGAGUUUAGUCGGGGCCGGCUCUUGGUAUAUUACCUACACGAGCUUCACAUAAAUAUACCACUCCUAAGAUAGGGAUCUAUACCGCCAAGACCAUUUGUUGGCCGUGUCCGUCCGAGCGUCUCGAAGCUCAGGACGACGAGCUGCAUGGCUGCCAACCCGGCAGGCGUUGGCUUAGUUUCGUUGCCCCCGAGGAUAGAUCAGGACUCGGAUCACCUGUGCGGCCAAUUGUUUUCGCCCAUCGGCCACGAAUUGAUGGCCCUAUCAUUACUCAGUUAUUAACAAUCGUUUGGUAACGAGCGUUCUGCCAGUGGUAGAUGUUUUCAGUUAAUUAUAUGUUCAGAACAACGCCGUUUCGAUAAACCAUCCCCUCUUCGAUAGUGUCUAAUCAUUUCUGUUAGAUAUCACCAUGGAAUGAUGAUUCAUGAUUCACGUCGUGCUACUCUUUGCUGGCCUUAGGCUUGAGAGAAAAAGUCUUUUUUUUUUAGUUAGAAAAAAUGUCAGGACCUAUUAAGGCUAUUAGGAUGUCCUGGGGCAGGGUGGAUAAGGAUAUGGUUGGGUUAACUAGAGUUAAAUUCAGGGGUUAAAGUUUAAGUCUGACUUUGAAGCGGGUCUCAGAACACUACCACUAUCAGAGUCCAGAUGUCCCUAAUGUGAUAGGUUUCCGUGAAAUGGCGACGAAGGGGGUUGAAUGCAGAGGAGAAGCCACAGAGGACGAAGAGUACGAUAAGAAGGCUCUGCUAUCCUUGGGGAGAUCUCCCGAUUGCUUGGUACCGUUGCGUGGGGAUGCUGAAGAGAUGCUGAAGGGCUGCCUGUUAGGGACGUGUUCGGCGAACAAAUUACCUUUUGUUUUUGAAACUUAACAGUUAUUUGGGGUCUGACUUAUGGCCGGUCCGCACUUCUUCUGAAUAGCUGGACUGGCUCGUUCCCUCCGAGAUUUCGGACCUGGUGUGGAAUGUUGAUGAAGAGGUGUUUGGUGGUUAAGCAAACUCUGCAUCUGUUACUCAAAGGAACAUCCCUAGGAGUACCAGUAUCAACGUCCUUGGCAUAACAAUGGAUUACUCGGAAGAUUGAGAUUCAGAAGACGAGGCGGAGGGCGUGUAUCGUGGUUCAAUGGCGCUACUAACGAGAGUGGGAGUCACUAACGGCUCCAAGUGUUCGAAUUCAUCGGGGAAGGUUUGCGUUUAAGACGAAGUGAACGUAAGAAGCAGAAAAGACGUAGCGAAGCAGGAUAAAAUAAAAGCAAGUGUAAGGACGAGCGAAGGAGAAGAUUGAGAAAAAGGAGGCUGCGAAGGAGGAGCUGGAAUAGGAUGAACUCGAAGGAGAAGAAGAAGAGGAUGAAAGAGGAGAAGGAGGGAGGAAAGGUGUGGGGCA
This is a long non-coding RNA of Cephus cinctus (wheat stem sawfly), 2377 nucleotides long. RefSeq lists it as uncharacterized. The transcript is spliced from 4 exons. The record is from RefSeq and is a predicted model, not a curated record. Lineage: Eukaryota; Metazoa; Arthropoda; Insecta; Hymenoptera; Cephidae.